UUUCGGUUUUCUCGUAUUGACUCUUUAUUUUAUUUUAUUUGAAAUUCUUUUACUAUUAGUAUUUUUAUUAUUACUAGAUGAUAAAACAUGAAUAAUAUUUUAUGCGUGACUAAUUUUUUUAAAGUUUUUAUAUAAAUUUUUUAAAUAAAACGAAUAGUCAAACGUUAGAUACGGAAAAAC
RNAcentral lists this microRNA precursor (180 nucleotides) under Oryza brachyantha (malo sina). RNAcentral describes it as "MIR812 microRNA precursor family". It matches the Rfam family "MIR812 microRNA precursor family". The record is from Rfam by way of RNAcentral. Lineage: Eukaryota; Viridiplantae; Streptophyta; Magnoliopsida; Poales; Poaceae.